This 440-nucleotide unclassified non-coding RNA is filed under the name Melitaea cinxia (Glanville fritillary). RNAcentral describes it as "misc RNA ENSMCXG00005008864.1". Lineage: Eukaryota; Metazoa; Arthropoda; Insecta; Lepidoptera; Nymphalidae. The record is from RNAcentral.
GUAGGUUUUCUACUCAAAGUAUUUUGAAUACGAAUUAAACCUUUUAUUUUUUUGCCUUUUGACAAAUCUGUCAAUUUGUGUGGCAUUAAUCUAAACAAUAGUAUGUGAAACGAAAAUUUGCUAUAUUUAUUUUGCUCAAAGGAACGCACAAAGGAAUGUCAUUUACGGUCGCUUUGUUCGGAGAAGAACUGUAAACAAUUGGCAACUUUGACAUGCUUUUCUAUGCGAAAAGAAGGAUUAGGCAGGCCAGUCGAGUGGAAGAGAGAUACAUGCGGCGCAAGCGUACAAUGAGCAUAACGGGACAGUGAGCGUUACAGGACAAUGAGGGUAAUGGGACUAUGACUCAUCUUUUUUCGUGAAUUCAGCCAGCGUUCAUCGAUUUAUUAGACGUUGUCACGUCAAUAACCCAACGCAAUGGUCAACUGCUUAAAUUCUAUUUA